This is a long non-coding RNA of Glycine soja, 646 nucleotides long. RefSeq lists it as uncharacterized. NCBI's taxonomy places the organism in Eukaryota, Viridiplantae, Streptophyta, Magnoliopsida, Fabales, Fabaceae. The transcript is spliced from 2 exons. The record is from RefSeq and is a predicted model, not a curated record.
CGUCUCCACGCCCGCCCUCCCGCCCUCUCCAAUCCGCCGCACCAGCCUCAAUCCUCCACCACCGUUCCGCCACAGUACUUCAUCGUCUGUCAGACAGAUCCAACAACAACUUUGAAGUAGCUCCGAUAGUCUUGGUCUUGAUCUUGAUCUUCGUCUUCAUCAUCGGUGUAAUCGAAAUCGAAGUCGAGAACGGACCUGACGGCGUUAGAAGAAGACGGCGAGCGGAGGAGCGCGAGGACGGGGAAGUUUUUCGGAAGCGCGUGGACGGAGUUUCCGACGGAGGACACGUGGCGGCAGCGGGGACACGUCAGCGUGGUGUCGGUUGAGGCGGAGAACAUUCUGGAAAGACAGUCCCGGCAGAAGCCGUGGCCGCAUUGGAGAAGAAGUGGGACCCGCAGCUCCUCGUCGUAGCGGGUUUGGCAAACGGAACAGAACGGCUCUCUGGUUUUCAUUCUUUCGAACCAAAGUUGAACUUUGUUUUUGAAAUGGCGAAGAAAAACGGUGGGUGGUGGUGGAAAAUGGAGAAAGAGUUGACAGGAGAAAAAGAAACCAGUUACUUUGUUGUUUGCAUGAAAGAGCAGAUAAAAAAACAUUUGAUGCUAAACCAUUAAUAAUUUCUCUUAAAUAUUCCUUAUUUUAAUCUUAA